GAUGAACGCUGGCGGCGUGCCUAAUACACGCAAGUCGAGCGAACAGAUGAGGAGCUUGCUCCUCUGACGUUAGCGGCGGACGGGUGAGUAACACGUGGAUAACCUACCUAUAAGACUGGGAUAACUUCGGGAAAUCGGAGCUAAUACCGGAUAAUAUAUUGAACCGCAUGGUUCAAUAGUGAAAGACGGUUUUGCUGUCACUUAUAGAUGGAUCCGCGCCGCAUUAGCUAGUUGGUAAGGUAACGGCUUACCAAGGCAACGAUGCGUAGCCGACCUGAGAGGGUGAUCGGCCACACUGGAACUGAGACACGGUCCAGACUCCUACGGGAGGCAGCAGUAGGGAAUCUUCCGCAAUGGGCGAAAGCCUGACGGAGCAACGCCGCGCGAGUGAUGAAGGUCUUCGGAUCGUAAAACUCUGUUAUUAGGGAAGAACAAAUGUGUAAGUAACUAUGCACGUCUUGACGGUACCUAAUCAGAAAGCCACGGCUAACUACGUG
This 497-nucleotide ribosomal RNA is filed under the name uncultured bacterium. Its description in RNAcentral is "partial 16S ribosomal RNA". It matches the Rfam family "Bacterial small subunit ribosomal RNA", at positions 28 to 507 of the family's 1533-position model. The record is from RNAcentral.